Molecule: ribosomal RNA, 1341 nt
Filed under: Triticum aestivum (bread wheat)
Lineage: Eukaryota; Viridiplantae; Streptophyta; Magnoliopsida; Poales; Poaceae
Description: partial small subunit ribosomal RNA
Source: RNAcentral
AUGGGCUCGACUCUCCAUUUGGGCGGGCACCCUUUCGGCGGCCCUGGUGGUCUUGGGAUUGCUGGAGAUUGGGGCGGACGCAGGAUCAAGGGGCUGCUAGCGCCUGCUGGUGGUGUGGCUGCCCCGUUCGUACAGUCCAGACCAAUUGAUGCUCAGGCCAUGCAUGACGCGCCAGCUCGAUGGGUCGCUAUGGGCAUGAUGGCCUCACGNNNNNNNNNNNNNNNNNNNNNNNNNNNNNNNNNNNNNNNNNNNNNNNNNNNNNGGGAUACGGUCGUGGGCCCUGUGGACGGUGUGCUCACGGAGGCUGCGCAGGGGCCUCUCAGCGAUGCAUCUUCAGCAAUGGGCUUGGCAGCUCACACGCCCACAGUGGAUGCACGACAUCAACACGGCAGGGAUACCGCUUCAGCGGGUGGCACACAUUGUCGCUCGGGUUGUGCCACUACGGCAGUGGGCUCAGCGGCCGGUGUUGCCACGCCGGUCCUGCCAUGGUCGGUGGCCUCUAUGGCUGUGGGCUCGACAGCUUGUGUCGCGACGCCUCCAUCAGGACGAGUCACGCUAUGCCAAGUGGUGUCGCCGCGCCAGCUCUCCUUCGCAUCGGAGGCAUGUACACAGGGCGGGGUGGAGGACGGCAAUCUGGUGUGUGCGUCCUCGCAUGGCACGCCUCCUCGCCAGCUGCUGGUAUGCCCUGUGCCAGUCGAGAUAGCAAAGGAGGCGCCUCCCUCAGCUGAUGGUGUUAUGGAGAUGCUGCAAACUAUGUCGGAUGUUGAGUCCCUGCACCUCAAGGCACUGAAGUUGCCACAACAGUCUAGACAGUCAAGGUCCUCUUGCUCGAGCCCGGUGCGCACGCCUUUUGCAACCCCGUUGAGCCCGAGCAAGCUGCUUCCACCCCUGGCACAUGAAGCUAAUUUGGACAUGGUGCUUGGUCCAAAAACGGCUGUAGACACGCUACUUGAGGGGAUUGGUGCCACCCCCGUACCAUCCAUCAUGGGGCCGAGGCCGGCUGCAUCGGCUCUGGUGCGACGCAAAAAGACUCUACCACCGAACUUCACCCCUCGCAGGAGUGCGCGGCUAAAUAAAGAUGACGAUGGCUUGAACAAGGGGCCUUACCACCGUGCCCAAACUAUGUUGCUUCGUCGCAUGGGUUUAAUUGAAGCUGAGGAACAGAUGACACAGAAAGCGAUGGAUGAAUACUUGAAGCUGUUCGACAAGCCGUUGGCUCCACACCAUAUCAAGGCAAUUACUGCUCUUUUCGCCCCGGAUGAAGUGGACUUUGAUGAACCUGCUCAUGAGGGCUUUAGUGCUUUCUCCCUCCCUGCGGCUGUCGAACUGUGUGGUGUGUAG